CAAGAGUUUGGUCCUGGCUUUACUAUCACUUCCAACUAUAUUUAUACAUGCAAGUCUCCGCAAUCCCGUGAGGAUGCCCUAUAUCAACCUACCAAGGAAGUAUAGGAGCUGGUAUCAGGCUCAUCUAAAUACUCACGCCCACGACACCUUGCUUAGCCACACCCCCAAGGGUAUUCAGCAGUAACAAACUUUGAGCCAUAAGUGCAAACUUGACUCAGUUAAAGUUAAGAGGGUCGGUUAAUCUCGUGCCAGCCGCCGCGGUUAUACGGGGGACCCAAGGUGAUGGUCAUCGGCGUAAAGCGUGGUUAGAAUAUUCUCACUUAAACUAAAGCCGAAAGCCUUCACAGCCGUUGCACGCAUACGAAAGUAAGAAGCCCAAUCACGAAAGUAGCUUUAUAAAUUUUUGACUCCACGAAAACUGGGGCACAAACUGGGAUUAGAGACCCCACUAUGCCCAGCCUUCAAAAUUAACGGUUUAUUUACAUUUUCCCGUUCGCCUGGUUACUACGAGCUCAGCAGUGUCGAGGCUUAAAACCCAAAGGACUUGGCGGUGCUUCAGAACCCCCUAGAGGAGCCUGUCCUAUAACCGAUACUCCCCGUUAAACCUCACCCUUUCUUGUUCAUUCCAGCCUAUAUACCGCCGUCGCCAGCUCACCCCUUGAGGGUAAUAACAUGUGAGCUCAACCGGUUAACCCCCCAAUAAGUCAGGUCGAGGUGUAGCGUAAGAGAGGGGAAGAGAUGGGCUACAUUCUCUACUUUAGUGAAUACAGAGGACGAACCCUGAAACAAGAUGUCCAAAGGUGGAUUUAGCAGUAAGAGGGGAAUAGAGUGCCCCCCUGAAGCCGGCAAUGGAGCGUGCACACACCGCCCGUCACUCUCUCCAAGCACCUUCGUCCAUAAAUUUUUAUAAACCAUUAGAUUAGCACAGGAGAGGCAAGUCGUAACAUGGUAAGCGUACUAGAAAGUGCGCUUGGCUAAAUU
This 981-nucleotide non-coding RNA is filed under the name Scolopsis vosmeri (whitecheek monocle bream). RNAcentral describes it as "12S ribosomal RNA". It matches the Rfam family "Bacterial small subunit ribosomal RNA". The record is from RNAcentral. Lineage: Eukaryota; Metazoa; Chordata; Actinopteri; Spariformes; Nemipteridae.